ACGUAGGAGGCGAGCGUUGUCCGGAUUUACUGGGCGUAAAGGGCGCGCAGGCGGCAGCUUAAGUACGGUGUGAAAUCUCCCUGCUCAACGGGGAGGGUGCAUUGUAAACUGGGCAGCUAGAGGACGGUAGAGGGGGGUAGAAUUGCUGGUGUAGCGGUGAAAUGCGUAGAGAUCAGCAGGAAUACCCGUGGCGAAGGCGGCCCCCUGGGCCGAACCUGACGCUGAGGCGCGAAGGCUAGGGGAGCGAACGGGA
This 253-nucleotide ribosomal RNA is filed under the name uncultured prokaryote. RNAcentral's name for it is "partial 16S ribosomal RNA". It matches the Rfam family "Bacterial small subunit ribosomal RNA", at positions 525 to 777 of the family's 1533-position model. The record is from RNAcentral.